UACGUAGGGGGCAAGCGUUGUCCGGAUUUAUUGGGCGUAAAGAGCGUGUAGGCGGUUUGGUAGGUCCGUUGUGAAAACUCGAGGCUCAACCUCGAGACGCCGAUGGAAACCAUCAGACUAGAGUCCGGAAGAGGAGAGUGGAAUUCCUGGUGUAGCGGUGAAAUGCGUAGAUAUCAGGAGGAACACCUGUGGUGUAGACAGCUUACUGGACCAUUUCUGACGCUGAGACACGAAAGCGUGGGUAGCAAACAGG
This 253-nucleotide ribosomal RNA is filed under the name uncultured bacterium. RNAcentral describes it as "partial 16S ribosomal RNA". It matches the Rfam family "Bacterial small subunit ribosomal RNA", at positions 524 to 776 of the family's 1533-position model. The record is from RNAcentral.